This 606-nucleotide ribosomal RNA is filed under the name uncultured freshwater bacterium. RNAcentral describes it as "bacterial SSU rRNA". It matches the Rfam family "Bacterial small subunit ribosomal RNA", at positions 8 to 607 of the family's 1533-position model. The record is from RNAcentral.
AGAGUUUGAUCCUGGCUCAGGAUGAACGCUAGCGGCAGGCUUAAUACAUGCAAGUCGAGGGGCAGCAUGAAGUAGCAAUACUUUGAUGGCGACCGGCAAACGGGUGCGGAACACGUACACAACCUUCCUUUAAGUGGGGAAUAGCCCAGAGAAAUUUGGAUUAAUACCCCGUAACACAACGAAGUGGCAUCACUUUGUUGUUAUAGUUUCGGCGCUUAAUGAUGGGUGUGCGUAUGAUUAGAUAGUUGGCGAGGUAACGGCUCACCAAGUCUACGAUCAUUAGCUGAUGUGAGAGCAUGAUCAGCCACACGGGCACUGAGACACGGGCCCGACUCCUACGGGAGGCAGCAGUAAGGAAUAUUGGUCAAUGGACGCAAGUCUGAACCAGCCAUGCCGCGUGAAGGAUUAAGGUCCUCUGGAUUGUAAACUUCUUUUAUAUGGGACGAAAAAAGGUCUUUCUAGACCCCUUGACGGUACCAUAUGAAUAAGCACCGGCUAACUCCGUGCCAGCAGCCGCGGUAAUACGGAGGGUGCAAGCGUUAUCCGGAUUCACUGNGUUUAAAGGGUGCGUAGGCGGGUAGGUAAGUCAGUGGUGAAAUCCUGGAG